RNAcentral lists this non-coding RNA (777 nucleotides) under Cryptoperla sp. WY-2013. The record is from RNAcentral. Lineage: Eukaryota; Metazoa; Arthropoda; Insecta; Plecoptera; Peltoperlidae.
AUGAGCUUAGAUGGGGGCUUAUAUGUUCGGUUCGUUUUAUAGCUUUAUGUUAGUUUUAUUUUAUGUCUCUGUUGUGGGGCUAUUUAUAUUAUUUAGUUCAUUAUUAGUUUUGUAUUAAUCAUAAUCAAGUGAUUGAAUAGUAUUUUAAAUAGUACGCAAAGUCGUGCAGCUGGCGCGUAUACGAGGGUGCAAAUAAAUAUUUUGUGAUGUUUAAUGAUGUUACGGAAAUUAAAAUUUUAUUUUUUUUGGGUGGAAUCUUUAAUUAUAAAUUAAUUUCUAUAUAGGUUGUUGAAUCUUUGAAAUUUGAAAUUUAAAACUAGGAUUAGAUACCCUAUUAUUUUGGAUGUUAAUUUUGGGCUUGAGUAGUAAUAGUUAUGUUCUUGAAACUCAAAGAAUUUGGCGGUGCUUUAGACCUUUCAGAGGAACUUGUCCCUUAAUCGAUAAUCCUCGUUGGACUUUACUUAAGUUUGUAUUCAGUUUGUAUACCGCCGUCGUCAGAAUGUCUUUGUAGAGAUGUAAUUUUCUUUAGUUUUUAUUAAAAUAGAUGUCAGGUCAAGGUGCAGUUUAUACUUAAGAGGAGAUGAGUUACAAUAAAUUUAUUUAUAUGGAGUAUUUAUUUUGAAAAAGAAGUGUGAAGGUGGAUUUGAUUGUAAUUGAAUUGAAUUUUAUUAAAUUGAUUUUGGCUCUGAAGCAUGUACACAUCGCCCGUCGCUCUCGUUAUUAAGGCGAGAUAAGUCGUAACAUAGUAGAUGUACUGGAAGGUGUAUCUAGAAAGUU